GACGAACGCUGGCGGCGUGCCUAAUACAUGCAAGUCGAGCGGACGGAUGGGAGCUUGCUCCCAGACCGUCAGCGGCGGACGGGUGAGUAACACGUGGGCAACCUGCCUGUAAGACUGGGAUAACUCCGGGAAACCGGUGCUAAUACCGGAUAACUCUUUCCCUCACAUGAGGGAAAGCUGAAAUAUGGCAUCUCGCUAUCACUUACAGAUGUGCCCGCGUCGCAUUAGCUAGUUGGUGAGGUAACGGCUCACCAAGGCGACGAUGCGUAGCCGACCUGAGAGGGUGAUCGGCCACACUGGGACGGAGACACGGCCCAGACUCCUACGGGAGGCAGCAGUAGGGAAUCUUCGGCAAUGGACGAAAGUCUGACGGAGCAACGCCGCGUGAGUGAUGAAGGUUUUCGGAUCGUAAAACUCUGUUGUCAGGGAAGAACCAGUACCGGAGUAACUGCCGGUAACUUGACGGUACCUGAACAGAAAGCAACGGCUAACUACGUG
Molecule: ribosomal RNA, 498 nt
Filed under: uncultured bacterium
Lineage: Bacteria
Description: partial 16S ribosomal RNA
Rfam family: Bacterial small subunit ribosomal RNA
Source: RNAcentral